RNAcentral lists this ribosomal RNA (279 nucleotides) under uncultured bacterium. RNAcentral's name for it is "partial 16S ribosomal RNA". It matches the Rfam family "Bacterial small subunit ribosomal RNA", at positions 506 to 784 of the family's 1533-position model. The record is from RNAcentral.
UGCCAGCAGCCGCGGUAAUACGGAAGGUGCAAGCGUUAACCGGAUUUACUGGGCGUAAAGAGUGCGUAGGCUGGAAGAUCAGUCAGAUGUGAAAUUCCGAUACUCAAUAUCGGAGCUGCAUUUGAUACUGUCUUUCUAGAGAGUGGGAGGAGAAAGCGGAAUUCCGUAUGUAGCGGUGGAAUGCGUAGAUAUACGGAAGAACACCUGUGGCGAAAGCGGCUUUCUAUCUUACUUCUGACGCUGAGGCACGAAAGCGUGGGGAGCAAACAGGAUUAGAUA